Diorhabda carinulata is the source of this 727-nucleotide long non-coding RNA. RefSeq lists it as uncharacterized. NCBI's taxonomy places the organism in Eukaryota, Metazoa, Arthropoda, Insecta, Coleoptera, Chrysomelidae. The transcript has 2 exons. The record is from RefSeq and is a predicted model, not a curated record.
UUCUAUCACUACCAAACAGGCGCACUUUGCUUUCAUUUCAGAAGAGAACUGAUUCUCGUUGUUCGUCAGACCAAUGAGCGCUUUCUCUGGCAAAUCUGCAGGUAACCUUGACACUAGGUUACCUGCCUUAAGUCUUCUAACUGCCCAAGCUACUCCUAGCGUUUCUCUGAGCUAGUCAUGGACUUAAAAACCAGUGAGAGCCCGAUGUUACAGCGAUGUACUAACAAUUAAUCGAUCUUUUUCCUAGGAUAUUCACCUUUUCCUUCUGGAAUCGCGUCUUCGACGAAAGUUACCAGUUUCUUUGUAAUUCUGGAAACUGCAGACUGACUUAUGUUCGAUGCACUGGCCACUUCUCCCCGACUUGUCGCAAUAUGGUGACCGCUAGCGCAGCUUUAUUACUUGUUGUGCAUAUUUUCAGUUAGAAUUUUUGUUGACGACAACUCGAUGAAGAUGGUGCUAGAAUCGAAUGGUGGCUUAGAACGUCCACAAUGACCCCUAUAAUCAUCAGGAAGAUUUAUAACGGUUAAGACAGUUCCAAGAGAAGUGAUUGUUAAUUUUUUUGACAAAGUAAGCAUCGGAGCUAGUAUGAAGCAAGCGCAUUUAAGAUAUAGCUAGGGUAUGUCUUCAGGUCAAUUGGGUACCUGGUUUUAUAGUCAGGUGAAGAAGGCGUUUGAUUCGAUUAGCGGCUGAGAAGAUCGAAGCAACGUACGACUAUAGAGAAAGAAAA